RNAcentral lists this long non-coding RNA (238 nucleotides) under Elaeis guineensis (African oil palm). RNAcentral describes it as "long non-coding RNA (EGUI_LNC053568)". Lineage: Eukaryota; Viridiplantae; Streptophyta; Magnoliopsida; Arecales; Arecaceae. The record is from RNAcentral.
UCUCAACCUUAAAAAUCUUGUAACUCCUCACUAGGACUACCUUGACCAAAGUUUUACUAAACUAAAAUACAAUAAUGCAUCAUCUUCAAUUUUACUUGGAGCGAUCAAUCCCAUCUUGACUCACACUUUGAUUUCACAAGUACUUGACUGUACCCAAAAAUCUUCCAUCAUCGAAUUAGAAAUUCAAAUAGUCUGUCACCAAAGCAUAGUGAGUUGCUUGCAAGUCACAGAGGCAGCU